Molecule: non-coding RNA, 679 nt
Organism: Peromyscus maniculatus bairdii (prairie deer mouse)
Lineage: Eukaryota; Metazoa; Chordata; Mammalia; Rodentia; Cricetidae
Source: RefSeq, a predicted model, not a curated record
CCCUCGGUUACCAUGGUUACAGACAACAUAAGAGCUGGCUCUAGUACAGGACGGGCUUCAGGCAGCCUCACAGAAGGCCCUCUCACCCCGCCUUAGACCCUGUCCUUGUUACUUCGUGUGAAGAAUGAUACACUCAACAGUCUCCAGUUCUCGAACCUGCUCAAGUCCACAGGGACCCACAAAGUUCUCACAGCCCCCGAGUGAUGGAAGACUCCCCAGGCAAGAGUCAGAUGUCCCAAAAGUUUAUGAGACAUGGGCUAGAAGAAUGCUUAAGAGCCCAGACUCUAGUCCAGUCCCACCACUGACUAGCUACGCAACUCUGAGCAAGACAGGAUAGAAGCCCAGGUUGGCCUGGAACUCGCUGUAUAACCUCAUGUUCACUUCAAACUAUUGGAAAUCCUGGCUCCACUGGCAUUACGGGGAUGAACCACCACACCUAGCUUCAAUCUUCUCUAUCAGACUUUUUUUAAAGCCCCGUGGUGCUUACAGAACAUGCUACACAUUCAACUACUAACUCCUCCCUGCAGUGACUAAUUUUGACCUGACACCCACACUGUAAAUUCCAAGAAGACAAAUAUUUUGCCUGUCCUGUCUGACUAUAUUCCCAGGGCCAGGACUGUGCCUGAUGGGAAGCAUGCAUUUGACAAAUAAAUAUGUCCUGCAAGGAUUAAAAGUAAAA